AGCUGGUUGUAAAGAAAUACC
This 21-nucleotide unclassified non-coding RNA is filed under the name Dictyostelium discoideum. Lineage: Eukaryota; Evosea; Eumycetozoa; Dictyosteliales; Dictyosteliaceae. The record is from RNAcentral.